This 69-nucleotide antisense RNA is filed under the name Streptomyces leeuwenhoekii. RNAcentral describes it as "ASpks sRNA". It matches the Rfam family "ASpks TB sRNA". Lineage: Bacteria; Bacillati; Actinomycetota; Actinomycetes; Kitasatosporales; Streptomycetaceae. The record is from RNAcentral.
CUUCACCGAACCCAGCCACAACGGCCGGGCACGACCCUGCCCGUAAGCAGCAAUCAGCGCCUGCGCCUC